GGGCCUGGCAGGGCUACAACAUGCAUUCUAGGUUGAGCACUAGCCCAGCCCGCCUGUUUGGCCUGCUGGCGCCGGUAAACACGAUGGGUUGUGCGUAUGCUUGACGGCACGCUGGGCCUAUAGGGCCCAACCUCACAAUAGGCCGCAUUGGGGCUUGCCCGUGAGAGCCGCUUGCGCAUUGGGCCACGCUUGGGCCCAGCCCGCAAUCUGGCCCGCGUGCAGCCUCUUAAUGCGUUUAAUAAAAAAAACAAAGAAGCUUUGUUUGGUGUGGGAUACGAACACACAAACCUUU
Molecule: long non-coding RNA, 292 nt
Filed under: Ananas comosus (pineapple)
Lineage: Eukaryota; Viridiplantae; Streptophyta; Magnoliopsida; Poales; Bromeliaceae
Description: long non-coding RNA (ACOM_LNC032802)
Source: RNAcentral